RNAcentral lists this transfer RNA (73 nucleotides) under Chloroflexi bacterium OLB15. RNAcentral's name for it is "tRNA-Ala". It matches the Rfam family "tRNA". Rfam says of the family: Transfer RNA (tRNA) molecules are approximately 80 nucleotides in length. Lineage: Bacteria; Bacillati; Chloroflexota. RNAcentral also lists the same sequence under 7 other names. The record is from RNAcentral.
GGGCCUAUAGCUCAGCUGGGAGAGCGCUUCAAUGGCAUUGAAGAGGUCAGGGGUUCGAAUCCCCUUAGGUCCA